RNAcentral lists this ribosomal RNA (336 nucleotides) under uncultured eukaryote. RNAcentral's name for it is "partial 18S ribosomal RNA". It matches the Rfam family "Eukaryotic small subunit ribosomal RNA", at positions 1469 to 1796 of the family's 1831-position model. The record is from RNAcentral.
ACCCUUAGAUGUUCUGGGCCGCACGCGUGCUACACUGGUGAAUACAGCGAGUGUCCAUUCCCUUGACCGAAAGGUCUGGGUAAUCUUAUGAAAGUUCAUCGUGACAGGGAUUGAUCAUUGCAAUUAUUGAUCAUGAACGAGGAAUUCCUAGUAAAGGCGAGUCAUCAUCUCGCUUUGAUUACGUCCCUGCCCUUUGUACACACCGCCCGUCGCUACUACCGAUUGAAUGGUUUAGUGAGAUCUCCGGAUUGGCGGCCUUGGUACCUUCACGGGUCCAACGGUUCUGCCGAGAAGCUGCUCGAACUUGAUCAUUUAGAGGAAGUAAAAGUCGUAACA